CCUACGGGGGGCAGCAGUGGGGAAUAUUGGGCAAUGGGCGCAAGCCUGACCCAGCAACGCCGCGUGAAGGAAGAAGGCUUUCGGGUUGUAAACUUCUUUUGUCAGGGAAGAGUAGAAGACGGUACCUGACGAAUAAGCCACGGCUAACUACGUGCCAGCAGCCGCGGUAAUACGUAGGUGGCAAGCGUUGUCCGGAGUUACUGGGUGUAAAGGGCGUGUAGCCGGGUUGACAAGUCAGAUGUGAAAUCCUGCGGCUUAACCGCAGAACUGCAUUUGAAACUGUUGAUCUUGAGUACUGGAGAGGCAGAUGGAAUUCCUAGUGUAGCGGUGAAAUGCGUAGAUAUUAGGAGGAACACCAGUGGCGAAGGCGGCCUGCUGGACUGUGACUGACGUUGAGGCCCGAAGGCGUGGGGAGCAAACAGGAUUAGAUACCCUGGUAGUC
Molecule: ribosomal RNA, 442 nt
Filed under: uncultured bacterium
Lineage: Bacteria
Description: partial 16S ribosomal RNA
Rfam family: Bacterial small subunit ribosomal RNA
Source: RNAcentral